This 76-nucleotide transfer RNA is filed under the name Gammaproteobacteria bacterium. Its description in RNAcentral is "tRNA-His". It matches the Rfam family "tRNA". Rfam says of the family: Transfer RNA (tRNA) molecules are approximately 80 nucleotides in length. Their secondary structure includes four short double-helical elements and three loops (D, anti-codon, and T loops). The record is from RNAcentral. Lineage: Bacteria; Pseudomonadati; Pseudomonadota; Gammaproteobacteria. RNAcentral also lists the same sequence under 2 other names.
GUGGGUGUAGCUCAGUUGGUAGAGCUCUGGCUUGUGGUGCCAGUGGUCGUGGGUUCGAGCCCCAUCACCCACCCCA